GUACACACCGCCCGUCACACCAUGGGAGUUGCUUUACCCGAAGUCGUUUCGCUAACCGCAAGGAGGCAGGCGACCACGGUAGGGCAGCGACUGGGGUAAGUCGUAACAAGGUAGCCGUAGGUGAACCUGCAGAAGGAUCA
Molecule: ribosomal RNA, 140 nt
Filed under: uncultured eukaryote
Lineage: Eukaryota
Description: partial small subunit ribosomal RNA
Rfam family: Bacterial small subunit ribosomal RNA
Source: RNAcentral